AUCUCCACUAUAUGAGGGAGAAAUACUUGAGAAUUCAGUGUUGCCACAUUUAGACCACAUUGCGAAAGAUCGGGAUAUUUUUGUGCAGAUCCGAGCUGUCCAGUUUCUUGUCGAUGUUAUUGAAUCCUCUGAUUCACCGAAAGUUUGCGAUGUUUUGCAUAUAAUCGAGAAGAUUGCCACUGUCCAGUAGAUC
Molecule: long non-coding RNA, 193 nt
Organism: Dendronephthya gigantea
Lineage: Eukaryota; Metazoa; Cnidaria; Anthozoa; Malacalcyonacea; Nephtheidae
Exons: 3
Source: RefSeq, a predicted model, not a curated record